This is a long non-coding RNA of Drosophila ficusphila, 511 nucleotides long. RefSeq lists it as uncharacterized. The record is from RefSeq and is a predicted model, not a curated record. The transcript is spliced from 3 exons. Lineage: Eukaryota; Metazoa; Arthropoda; Insecta; Diptera; Drosophilidae.
CACAAAAGUCGAUCAAACAAAAUACCAACUAAAGUUUCUAAUAAAACUAAGUUAAAAUUCAUUUUCUCGAUGGGUUGUGAGUCGUGUAAAGAUCCGGAGUGCUGCUCAAUAUUCUAUUCAUGCUGGUGCAUAGGCGUUGGUUUCCUGUGGUCUAUUCAGGCGUUGAUCGGCGUGAUAGUGAAUACUAAAGCUUUGGUAGUGGCGAUUUACAGCAUUAGUUUUUUUUUCGCCUUCAUUUAUGCUGUAGCUGGAUUUUUGCUUUAUUUGGGAAUACGCAAAAAAUCUAAACUUUCUUUUAAAAUAGGAAAGGUUUUAUCAUAUAUCUUUCCAAUCAUCGCAUUUUACCUAAUAUUUCCUAUGGUUGUUCAUUUUGUCUGCAUUUUUAAAUUGUGCAAAUAUAUGAGGGAUACCUGGCCUCCAAGGUGAUUUGCAGUACGUUGUAUAAACAGAGCGUUAAGGAUAAAAUUGAAAGUGUAUAUUGGAUUAUUACAAAUAUAUUUUAACUAAAUUA